RNAcentral lists this transfer RNA (87 nucleotides) under Puccinia sorghi. It matches the Rfam family "tRNA". From Rfam's summary of the family: Transfer RNA (tRNA) molecules are approximately 80 nucleotides in length. Their secondary structure includes four short double-helical elements and three loops (D, anti-codon, and T loops). The record is from Rfam by way of RNAcentral. Lineage: Eukaryota; Fungi; Basidiomycota; Pucciniomycetes; Pucciniales; Pucciniaceae.
CAAUUGGUAGCCUAUUUGGUAAGGCAGCACUUCUAGUAUAGUGUCUUAGCUUAGCUAAGGUCGCUGGUUCAAAUCCUGCCCAAGUUG